This 1168-nucleotide long non-coding RNA is filed under the name Salvia miltiorrhiza (redroot sage). RNAcentral describes it as "long non-coding RNA (SMIL_LNC008705)". The record is from RNAcentral. Lineage: Eukaryota; Viridiplantae; Streptophyta; Magnoliopsida; Lamiales; Lamiaceae.
UACAAGUAGGGAUCAAUCAGCCUAUAAGAAACAUCAAGCCAUAUUGUUAGUACAAUUAUAGUGAACUCCUACCAACUCCAUGCUUCCAUCCCAUCCAAGUUUUGCCUACCUAUAUUCAUCUCCUCACAAUACAGCAAACACAUACACAAUAACACAUCUUGACAACUUCCUCAAUGCUCAAUCGAUGCUGCCAUCUAAAAGAUACACCAACUCAAAGCCCUUCCUCAAACUAGUAGAACACUCAGGCAUAACAUCAAGAAAAAGCUCAGCCUUUCCUAUCAAGGUUUUUCUUCAAUUCAUAGCAGUAAACACACACAUAUACAGCUUUAUGUUUGUUCAUAUGUCCAUCUAUAACUGAGUUUACAUAACAAUAAAGACAACGAGAUGUAAAUGUUUCAUACAAUGAGAAUACAGAUAAUGAGAUAUAAGAACUGAUAGUUUUGUUGCCUAUGUUUUGUUUAUUUGUGUACCAAUCACUGCUCCAUAAGAACAUAAGAUAUGUGCAUGAAAUGAAAAUGCUGAUAACUAAAACAAGAAUAGAACUCGUGGGGUAUCUCUGCUUGGAGAGUGUCUGUCGAGGAAGGGAUGUGAGAGUCGGGAGUCAGGGCGGAAACGGCGGUGGCUAUUAGCUACUGUCGGACCGAACAAAGGGAAGAGGGAGGCAGUAGCUAGGGCACGGCGGUGGUGGCGUGAAGCUGCUGACCGUCGUCGCCGGAUUUUAGAAAGGGAAGGUCGGAAUUGGGAACCUUUGGUUCCAGGUGGCUUGUAGCGUUUGUCAUCGGCGGCAGCCAUGGCUACUGCUAUGGUCGCCGAGAAUUGGAGCGAGAGGAGACCGGAUUUGGGAGCCUAGGGUUCGGCGGCGGCGGCUCUGCCGUCGUUCUGUCCGGAGCAGGGGAGAGGAGAAACGAGGGGAGAUGAGGGAGAGACUCGAUGGCCUUGUCGAUGUCGGAGUUUACAGGGGGAGCGUAGGAGAGGCGGCGCUUCGCCGGGGAAGACGAGAGAUCGAGGGAGGCGGCGGCGCCUCGCCGUCGCCAAGGAGGAAGGCGGAGGCGGAAUCGCCGCUGCUUCGCUGUUUCUUUCGUGGGUAUUGGUGAGCCGAAUGGUGUGGUGCGACGAGGGAGAUGAAGGCGGGGUGAUCGGCGGCGGUCACCGCCGGAGGAGAUUCGAG